Molecule: ribosomal RNA, 415 nt
Filed under: uncultured Methylophilus sp.
Lineage: Bacteria; Pseudomonadati; Pseudomonadota; Betaproteobacteria; Nitrosomonadales; Methylophilaceae
Description: bacterial SSU rRNA
Rfam family: Bacterial small subunit ribosomal RNA
Source: RNAcentral
GUGCCAGCAGCCGCGGUAAUACGUAGGGUGCGAGCGUUAAUCGGAAUUACUGGGCGUAAAGCGUGCGCAGGCUGUUUUGUAAGUCAGAUGUGAAAUCCCCGAGCUCAACUUGGGAACUGCGUUUGAAACUACAAGACUAGAAUAUGUCAGAGGGGGGUAGAAUUCCACGUGUAGCAGUGAAAUGCGUAGAGAUGUGGAGGAAUACCAAUGGCGAAGGCAGCCCCCUGGGAUAAUAUUGACGCUCAUGCACGAAAGCGUGGGGAGCAAACAGGAUUAGAUACCCUGGUAGUCCACGCCCUAAACGAUGUCUACUAGUUGUUGGUGGAGUAAAAUCCAUGAGUAACGCAGCUAACGCGUGAAGUAGACCGCCUGGGGAGUACGGUCGCAAGAUUAAAACUCAAAGGAAUUGACGGGA